Amblyraja radiata (thorny skate) is the source of this 1066-nucleotide long non-coding RNA. RefSeq lists it as uncharacterized. NCBI's taxonomy places the organism in Eukaryota, Metazoa, Chordata, Chondrichthyes, Rajiformes, Rajidae. The transcript has 2 exons. The record is from RefSeq and is a predicted model, not a curated record.
CUACAUGUCCAAGUCCCUGAUGAAGAUCCUCAACAAGAAGAACAAAGCCCCCAAAGCGGAGGCAAAGUAACCCGUGUCCCCCCCUCCCCCCCCAUCUACCCCUUCCCGAUCUCCCCCUCCCCCCCCUCCAUCCCUCCCCAUCUCCCCCUCCCCACGAUGGUCGCCGAUGACUGCCCCCCACAAGACGGAGAAGACAGUGGGGUGGGGGGCAAGAGGUGACUGCUUAUCCCGUAGAAUCCCACUCGAGUGACCAUUGUCUAUCUUGGCCCCAACGCUGGUCAACAGGUAGAUAGUUCAAGGUGACUGGACAUAGGUUCUACAGUGGAGUCCCACUCGAGUGGCCAUUGACCCCAACGCUGGACAUUAAGUCUUCUUCUGCUUCUGCCGUGUGUCUUUUAGACCCGCAGCUCCGUUGAGGCGAGGCGAGCCAAGCCAACGUGUCAUCGUCCAGGCCAACCGGACCUCGUUGACCAUUCGGUGGCCGGUGUUAUGGGGGCAACUGGUGACCAUGUGACAUUAGGUUGAGGUGGCCGCAGACAAAGUCCCAUUGUCUGUCUUGGCCCCAACACUGGUCAACAGGCCUUGACCACCUUGGCACACACCACAGUCUGUCUUUCCACUGGCUUGGGUGGGGCAUGACUGAGGAUUGGUUCCCCCCCCCCCCCCCCCCAAUCCUGGCCGCUGGAUUUUACCCCUCCCCGUCAGCCCGCCCAACCCCCAAAAGACCACCCAACCUUCCAAUGAGACCGCAUCACACUUUACUGACCAUGUGGGACAGUGUCUGCAUAAGGCCAGCUCAGAGUGUCUCCAACAGCGGCCAGCUCAGAGCAGAAAUAUUACUGAUGGCUGGAUGUCCCAAAUCUCGUCUCCUGCCCCCACCCUCCCCAACCUCCCCCACACCUCAACCAGGUAGAGGGGGAAGGGGUAAAUAAUACCUGCACUUAUCGCACUUGUGCCUUUACAUUGACACUUUGGUUUGCACAAGCAAUGUGUUAAUAGAUGUACAUGCUUUUAAAUUUAAUGAUGUUAUUUACAUUUUGAACUAAUAAAAAUGAUUAUUGAUUGA